CCUACCUGGUUGAUCCUGCCAGUAGUGAUAUGCUUGUCUAAAAGGCUAAGCCAUGCAUGUCUAAGUCCAAGCUUGUGUGCGUGUUCAUUGCGAGCGCGUGCACGGGCUAAACCGCAAAUGGCUCAUUAAAUCGGUCGUGAUCCAAAAGAGUAAAUUCAAACGCACUUGGUCGUCUUCGCGCUUCCAACGUGUGAUAGGAUAACUGUGGUAAUUCUAGAGCUAAUACAUGCACAACAUAAGGUCCGAUGAACUGGCGCUCUCGCGGGCGCUCAGUUCUGACGGCUGCUUUUAUUAGAUCGAAAGGGAUUCUCGCGCUCACGCGUGUCUAUCUCUACUUGGUGACUCUAGAUAAACCCACAAAGAGCGCGCGCACUCUUCGCGGAGUGUGCGCGCGCUUUCUCUUUCGAACAUCUGCCUUAUCAGCUAUCAAACGUUUGUUAUGUGCAAACGAUGGCUAUGACGGGUAACGGGGAAUCUGAGUUCGGUUCCGGAGAGGCAGCCUGAGAAACGGCUACCACGUCUAAGGACGGCAGCAGGCACGCAAAUUACCCAAAUCCCAGCGAGCAAGAUGUCAUUCGGAAGGGUGUCAAAGCCCUUUCGAGUCGUGACGUCGUGCCUUGGGGGAGGUAGUGACAAUACCUAACGAUGCGUUUACUCCUGAUGGAGUUUCGCAAUCGGAAUGGUGAGGCUAGAUGUGUUGGGUGCGCAAGUGUUCGAUCUCUGUCUUAAAAACUCUUAUGAGAAUCUACUGAAGGGCAAGUCUGGUGCCAGCAGCCGCGGUAAUUCCAGCUUCAGUGGCAUCUAUUAAUGUUUGCUGCGGUUAAAAGGCUCGUCGUUUGGGUAUCACAAAUCAAAGAGAGGAGAGCGCUCGCUUGGACUAGCGUUCUCGCGGGGACCUCUCCUUUCUCGACCCCCUGACCAAAUCAGAGUGCUCCAAGCAGUCUGGGUGGACUAUAGACUUGCGAGUCGUGUGUUGUACUUGGGUACGUUCGAUCGAGUUCGUCUCUUUCGUUCUGCUCUGGUGCGUGCGCGGCUCCACGGUCUGUUCACUCUUUUAAAAUUCACGAUAGCGAUAUCGCGCGCGUACUUCGCCGUACGUGUGUGUGAGCUUUCGUGGAGACUGUCUUGAUUUUGCAUGGCAUGUCGAACGAGGCUAUACUCUUCGUUCUCGCUCGCUCGCGGCUCACGCCGGUGUUCGGGUGGGGACGUCGAAACGGAAUGAUCAAAAGGAAUUGACUCGAAGGCAUUAGUAUUGCUCGGCGAGAGGUGAAAUUCUAUGACCCUUGCAAGACCACCUGAAAGCGAAAGCGUCUGCCAAGGAUGUUUUCAUUAAUCAUGAACAAAAGUUAGAGGUUCGAAGGCGAUCAGAUACCGCCCUAGUUCUAACCGUAAACGCUACCAACCACCAAUUCGUGUGAUGCACCAAUAAGUCUUCGGUGUUCGCUUGUGUCUCUCGCUUAGCUCGCGCCGCAUGCCUCUCACGGGGUGUGUGGUGUGUGUCGAGUGGGAGCAUGGGCCUCCGUUGAUGGUCGCCCCGAGCAGCUACUAUCUCACAAGGGAAACCACAAGUCUUUGGGUUCCGGGGGGAGUCUGGUUGCAAAGCUGAAACUUAAAGGAAUUGACGGAAAGGCACCACCAGGCGUGGGCUGCGGCUUAAUUUGACUCAACACGGGCAAUCUUACCAGGCCAACACGCUUGUAUGAUUGACAGAAUGAAAGAUCUUUCUCGAUUCAACGGAAGGUGGUGCAUGGCCGUUCUUAGUUGGUGGAGUGAUCUGUCUGGUUAAUUCCGAUAACGAACGAGACUCUCCCCUGCUAACAACACAGACGAAAGUCUAUUUAGAGACGGCAGGAUUCUCUGACUAUUGGUCCUAGUACCAAUUGAGUCCGUCGUCUGUUGUCUAACUUUGCGUUGGCUCGUUCGCGUUCUGUGCACUAUCUCUUGUGUUCGCACUCGAGACUAUGUACGUUCACGUUCGUGUCUUCGUGAGAGUUGACGACAAGAAAUUACAUCUUCUUAGAGGGAUAACCGGCGUCCUAUAAAGCCGUGUCGGAAAUUGAGAGCAAUAACAGGUCUGUGAUGCCCCUAGAUGUUCUGGGCUGCACGCGCGCUACAAUGCCGGGUUCAACAGGCUUUUCAUCAGCCUCGACGCGUCUUCGCUCACUCACGUGGGUGGAUUCGUGUUGAGUGUCUGACCCAUCUUCCUUGACGAAGGAUUCGAAGGGUAAGCCUCUGAAAUCCCGCGCUUCACAUACAGUACGGCGAGAAAAUGAACUAACGUUCACGAUCGUCGUGCUCAGAACAUCGAACCAUUUCGCGUUCGCUUCGGCGUUCGUGUAUUUGGUUCUGGCUUGAUCGGGCCUGGGAACUUGCAAUUGUGUCCCGCAAACGAGGAAUGCAUAGUAGAAGCAGAUCAAAGAUUCUGCUUUGACUAAGUCCCUGCCCUUUGUACACACCGCCCGUCGCUACUACCGAUUGGGUGAACAAGUGAGAACUUUGGAUUGGCGUCUCGCUCACGCGAGAGUGUACGACUCGAAGAGUUCGAACUUGUGUACUUAGAGGAAGUAAAAGUCGUAACAAGGUUUCCGUAGUGAACCUGCGGAAGGAUCAUUA
Molecule: ribosomal RNA, 2613 nt
Filed under: Bathymedon obtusifrons
Lineage: Eukaryota; Metazoa; Arthropoda; Malacostraca; Amphipoda; Oedicerotidae
Description: 18S small subunit ribosomal RNA
Rfam family: Eukaryotic small subunit ribosomal RNA
Source: RNAcentral